GAUCGUUUGGCCCACCCGUCAGCUCCACUUGCUGACCUCCAGUCCUCCACCAUGAAUCGGGUAUUCCCAAUCUCGUGUCCUCGGAGCGCCCUUCCCUCCCAGCGCCGCCGCCUCUUGCCCUCACCGUCUGGCUCGGACGGGGAAGCACGGCUGCGUGGAGGAGGUCUCGAUCUAACGCCCUGUGAUCUCGCCGUCCCAGUCUGACAAGCAGCGGUGGCCAUCUCCAUUCUAUGCGGCGGCCCGUCUGCCUCCCAGAUCCGGCCGGCGCUGCUUGUCCACGGCGGCCAGACCAAGAAGACCGACCAUGGGGCGUUUGAAGAGGACGGGAUGCAAAAGGGUGGAAGGAGGAUCAGUCAGUUCAACAGUUUCAAGGACUUCAGCAACAAAUUUCUACGAGAGGAACAAGAAGAAUAUUGUUAGUUUCUUAGAUCUUGUUUGUUCGUCGACAUGAGAAGGCAGACGAAGCCACGCAGAAUAAGUUACAGACUCUUCAACUGUAAGCUGUGGGGAAUGGUUUGAUGAUUCCACUGACAUCUUCAAGAACGUUGGUUUUUGCUCUUUCCGUUUCGAAGCCUAGCAACUUCACGAGGCCCUGUAACUCAAAUGAAAACGGUUGCUUCAGAUGCUGCUAUUUGGUGCAUAAUAAAAAUCAAUCAUUUCAGAGGUUUCUUACCGAGAAGGCACCUUUGGUACUAUUCCAUAGAGAUGGCAGGUGAUUUCCUUUAGUAACUCUGCACUCUGCCUCCACAAACAGAUUAUUAUACCUCACCUCUAUUGCUGGCAACUUGACAUCAACCCUGUGGAAAUGGAUCACAGGGGAAAAAUAAACAGUUGCAUAAACAGAGUCUAAUCUUCAUCCAGUUACUUAGAACAGUGUUCUGAAAAAGAAAACAUGCCUGUCAAUUCUUUCCUUUUGUCCGCGCAGAAAGCGGAGGUGGUCGUCUUCGAGGUUCUUUAGCAGCACCAUUCUGGCGCUGUCGCGAUGCCAAUUCUAACUCGGACUCAUCCGGGCGCUCGUCACUCGCACAGGCGGUGAAAUCUUGAUGGUGGGAUGAUGGGUUGGUCUCUCUUGCGAGGCCCUCCAUCUCAAGAUGGGUGAGUUAAAUCGACGCCCUUUGCUAUUGCCUAGCCGUACUCUAAGCAGUCAUUUCCUUCUCUUUAGAGUACAUAUAUAAGGUUUUGGCGAGCAUGUACGCACGCUUUUUCCCAUACGGACAUCAUCAGUCAGAAGAGUUGGAAAGACCAGUCAUGUGUUGACUUCAAACUAACUAUUAGCAUGGAAACGCACAUUCUGGAAGAUGACAGCCAUAAGUCAUGUAUUAUAUGGUACUGGUGAAGACUUCACAGUACUCCUGAUUCGGAGACCUGAUUUGCCUUA
Molecule: non-coding RNA, 1378 nt
Organism: Aegilops tauschii subsp. strangulata
Lineage: Eukaryota; Viridiplantae; Streptophyta; Magnoliopsida; Poales; Poaceae
Source: RefSeq, a predicted model, not a curated record